AGAGUUUGAUCCUGGCUCAGAUUGAACGCUGGCGGGAUGCUUUACACAUGCAAGUCGAACGGCAGCACGGGAGCUUGCUCCUGGUGGCGAGUGGCGAACGGGUGAGUGACGCGUCGGAACGUACCGAGUAAUGGGGGAUAACGCAGCGAAAGUUGKGCUAAUACCGCAUACGCCCUGAGGGGGAAAGUGGGGGAUCGCAAGACCUCACGUUAUUCGAGCGGCCGACGUCUGAUUAGCUUGUUGGUGGGGUAAUGGCCUACCAAGGCGACGAUCAGUAGCGGGUCUGAGAGGAUGAUCCGCCACACUGGAACUGAGACACGGUCCAGACUCCUACGGGAGGCAGCAGUGGGGAAUUUUGGACAAUGGGGGCAACCCUGAUCCAGCCAUUCCGCGUGAGUGAAGAAGGCCUUCGGGUUGUAAAGCUCUUUCAGCCGGAACGAAACGGUAUGUCUUAAUACGAUGUGCUAAUGACGGUACCGGCAGAAGAAGCACCGGCUAACUACGUGCCAGCAGCCGCGGUAAUAC
Molecule: ribosomal RNA, 525 nt
Filed under: uncultured Hydrogenophilaceae bacterium
Lineage: Bacteria; Pseudomonadati; Pseudomonadota; Hydrogenophilia; Hydrogenophilales; Hydrogenophilaceae
Description: bacterial SSU rRNA
Rfam family: Bacterial small subunit ribosomal RNA
Source: RNAcentral